AGAGUUUGAUCAUGGCUCAGGACGAACGCUGGCGGCGUGCCUAACACAUGCAAGUCGAGCGGGGUGAGUUCUUCGGAACGAUCCUAGCGGCGGACGGGUGAGUAACACGUGGGUAACCUGCCUCAAAGUGGGGGAUAGCCUUUCGAAAGGAAGAUUAAUACCGCAUAACCCAUAGCUUCCGCAUGGAAGCAAUGGUAAAGAUUUAUCGCUUUGAGAUGGACCCGCGGCGCAUUAGCUAGUUGGUGAGGUAACGGCUCACCAAGGCCACGAUGCGUAGCCGACCUGAGAGGGUGAUCGGCCACAUUGGAACUGAGACACGGUCCAGACUCCUACGGGAGGCAGCAGUGGGGAAUAUUGCACAAUGGGCGCAAGCCUGAUGCAGCAACGCCGCGUGAGUGAUGAAGGUCUUCGGAUUGUAAAGCUCUGUCUUUGGGGACGAUAAUGACGGUACCCAAGGAGGAAGCCACGGCUAACUACGUGCCAGCAGCCGCGGUAAUACGUAGGUGGCAAGCGUUGUCCGGAUUUACUGGGCGUAAAGGGUGCGUAGGUGGAUAUUUAAGUCAGAUGUGAAAUCCCUGGGCUCAACCCAGGACCUGCAUUUGAAACUGGAUGUCUAGAGUGCGGGAGAGGUAAGUGGAAUCCCUAGUGUAGCGGUGAAAUGCGUAGAGAUUAGGAGGAACACCAGUGGCGAAGGCGACUUACUGGACCGUAACUGACACUGAGGCACGAAAGCGUGGGUAGCAAACAGGAUUAGAUACCCUGGUAGUCCACGCCGUAAACGAUGAGUACUAGGUGUAGGGGGUAUCGACUCCCCCUGUGCCGCAGUUAACACAAUAAGUACUCCGCCUGGGAAGUACGAUCGCAAGAUUAAAACUCAAAGGAAUUGACGGGGGCCCGCACAAGCAGCGGAGCAUGUGGUUUAAUUCAAAGCAACGCGAAGAACCUUACCUAGACUUGACAUCCCCUGCAGUUACUUCGUAACUGAGGAAAGUACCUCUCGGGACAGGGAAGGAACAGGUGGUGCAUGGUUGUCGUCAGCUCGUGUCGUGAGAUGUUAGGUUAAGUCCUGCAACGAGCGCAACCCUUAUCAUUAGUUGCUACCAUUCAGUUGAGCACUCUAGUGAGACUGCCCGGGUUAACCGGGAGGAAGGUGGGGAUGACGUCAAAUCAUCAUGCCCCUUAUGUCUAGGGCUACACACGUGCUACAAUGGUGAGUACAAAGAGAUGCAAUCCCGUGAGGGGGAGCCAAACUUAUAAAACUCAUCUCAGUUCGGAUUGUAGGCUGAAACUCGCCUACAUGAAGCUGGAGUUGCUAGUAAUCGCGAAUCAGCAUGUCGCGGUGAAUACGUUCCCGGGCCUUGUACACACCGCCCGUCACACCAUGAGAGCUGGCAACACCCGAAGUCCGUAGUCUAACCGUAAGGAGGACGCGGCCGAAGGUGGGGUUAGUGAUUGGGGUGAAGUCGUAACAAGGUAACC
RNAcentral lists this ribosomal RNA (1479 nucleotides) under uncultured bacterium. RNAcentral's name for it is "bacterial SSU rRNA". It matches the Rfam family "Bacterial small subunit ribosomal RNA". The record is from RNAcentral.